RNAcentral lists this ribosomal RNA (836 nucleotides) under uncultured Actinomycetes bacterium. RNAcentral describes it as "bacterial SSU rRNA". It matches the Rfam family "Bacterial small subunit ribosomal RNA", at positions 73 to 895 of the family's 1533-position model. Lineage: Bacteria; Bacillati; Actinomycetota; Actinomycetes. The record is from RNAcentral.
CCGGGCUUCGGCCCGGGGCAAAGCCGCGAACGGGUGAGUAUCACGUGGGUAACCUGCCCCGAUGACCGGGAUAACCCGAGGAAACUCGGGCUAAUACGGGAUGUGCUCCUCGCACACCAGUGCAAGGAGUAAAGGAAGCUUCGGCCUCCGCAUUGGGAUGGGCCCGCGGCCCAUUAGCUUGUUGGUGAGGUAAUGGCUCACCAAGGCAACGAUGGGUAGCUGGUCUGAGAGGACGAUCAGCCACACUGGGACUGAGACACGGCCCAGACUCCUACGGGAGGCAGCAGUGGGGAAUCUUGCGCAAUGCGCGAAAGCGUGACGCAGCAACGCCGCGUGAGGGAAGAAGGCCUUCGGGUUGUAAACCUCUUUCAGGAGGGACGAAGGUUCAGGCGCGAAUAGCGUCCUGGACUGACGGUACCUCCAGAAGAAGCCCCGGCUAACUACGUGCCAGCAGCCGCGGUAAUACGUAGGGGGCUAGCGUUGUCCGGAAUCAUUGGGCGUAAAGAGCGUGUAGGCGGCCCGGUAAGUCCGCUGUAAAAGUCAAAGGCUCAACCUUUGAAUGUCAGUGGAUACUGCCGGGCUAGAGUCCGGAAGAGGCGAGUGGAACUCCUGGUGUAGCGGUGGAAUGCGCAGAUAUCAGGAAGAACACCAACGGCGAAGGCAGCUCGCUGGGACGGUACUGACGCUGAGACGCGAAAGCGUGGGGAGCGAACAGGAUUAGACACCCUGGUAGUCCACGCCGUAAACGAUGGGCACUAGGUGUGGGAGGUGUCGACUCCUCCCGUGCCGGCGCUAACGCAUUAAGUGCCCCGCCUGGGGAGUACGGCCGCAAGGCU